Molecule: long non-coding RNA, 4218 nt
Organism: Pseudopipra pipra
Lineage: Eukaryota; Metazoa; Chordata; Aves; Passeriformes; Pipridae
Exons: 3
Source: RefSeq, a predicted model, not a curated record
AGACCUCUGCAUCACUACUAUAGUUCAUGGCUAGUCAACAGCAUUUGGAAAGUUGUUUCCAUCUGGAAACUCUUUGCUGUCAUAUGGAAAAUGCAUUGAUGAUGUCAGCCUUGUACUUAAUGGAAAGAGAUCCACAACACUUGAAUUGUCCCUGCUCAGCCAAAAAGUGGCCAAGAACUGAAUGUGCAUGAAGCUCAAAAUAUUUUCUCAGCCACCAAGAAGAUCGCUUCAUCCAAGGACCAAAGCUCAUUGGCAUCAAAGGGCACUGCUCACCCUGCUCUUGAUCUAUGGACUGAGCUUCCCAAUUUACUGCAAACAAUAAAGAAUCAGAAAUGCAUCUGCGACCUCCUUUUGGAAGAAAUACUCAUCUGGCCUCCUUCCCAAACUCUGCAGGACAAUAUCCUGAUUUCAGUACAACUCCUCAAAAACCUGGAAGCAUGACUGGAAAACCAGAUCAUUUUAUCCACUCACAUGGGAACUGGCUGAAAUAAAAUGUACAGCAAGCCAUUCUCCAAUGACUUGUGAUGUGAGAACAGGGAGUAUGGGGAAUGGGCAAUAGUGAUGGAUUCAUUCCUUGGCAGAUAUUCUUGGCCAUUUCCUUCCACACUCUACAACCCCGGGGAAUUUGACAGCUCAGCUACUCCAAGCCUCUGGAAGUUUUUCUGGAAUAGGAAAAAAUACGCCAAUUUCUGUUCUUUGCUACACCAACAACUGUUUUCAUCUAUAUCUCAUUUUGAUCCAGAGAGUAUCCUUUUAAAUUAUCUCCUCAAAAUGAUUUUAUUCUUGUCAGGGAUAUUAAAGAUGUUGCAUGCUGAUUCCUUGAUGAUUCCCAUUCAUGAACUUCUUUUAAUACAUUUUCCCUUUCUAUCCAUAUUUUAAUGUCAAAACCCAUUCAGCAUUUCUGUAUGUUCCUCUCAAUGUUUGCCAGGUCACUGAGGAAAUCCUGCUCAUUAGAUUUGGUCACCCAUAGUGUGAAAACUUCACCUCAGAAACAUCUCUACAGUGCAUUUCCCUGCCCCUCUAAGGGACAGAGACUUCAUUUCCUGACUCCACUCAGUUAAUCGUUUUAUCAAUUAGGCCAGAAAUGUUGCUGUUCUUUGAAUAGAUCAUUUCCUUUAACUGAAAAGAGUUUUGCUGGUGUAAUUAGCGGUACAGGAAACAGUUUUGUGUUGAUAUGGAUAUUUAUUAUUUCCUAUUAGCGAGUAGCAUAUCCUGUGAUAACUUUCAUAAUUAGUGGGCCAAGUGUAAAUUUCAUCAGAAUGCACGUCAUAGCCUUCAGUUUGGGCUUAAAAUGCCAAGUACAAAAAUAGUUUCAAGUCAGAUGUCCUUGCCUCCAAAGCACCUUUGGCACUGUGUUUGCCUGUGACUUAACAACCUUCAUAAAGUAUAAAAAAAUAGCAAAAAUGCAUUUAUCUUGGGUUUCUGUUAGAGUUUUCCUGGGCUGGGAUAUACAGUAAUGGAAAUAACCCUGUGCCACCAUGCUUUACCAAAGGGACAGCCACAAGGAAAGAGGAUGGGACAUAGAAUAUAUCCUUCAAACACAAGACUAAUUACUCCCCGUAUUGUGCUGAUACUGGAAUAUACUUAAUUAUCUCUACCAAUUAAAUUUUUAGGUCAAGUGAGGACAAGAUUCAUGAAAAAGUAGAGUUGGAUAUUUUGGACUCCCUGCAGAGGAUCACUCUGUGCUCCUAUUUCAUUGGGAGGGAGAAAUGACUACAACACGAGGAGGAAAAAUGUGCAGUGACAUGAUAUUGUGGUAGGGGCAAAUGCAGAAAGAAACUGAGGUAUGGGCUAUGUUUGAAAGUGACAAAAGAGAAAAGAAUAGAGUAUUUUCCUGGAAUUUUUAGGCACUUCUUUUUAUUUUGGAAAGUUGUAAUUAAAGUUGCACACAUCAAAUGUUUGUGGUCGAUGAAUUCAGCAUUCUAUCUUCAGAGCAAAUCUCUGGAUUCCUCCUCUAUACAAGGAGACCAGAAUACUGUUUCUUGGAAACACUUUAGAAAACAACUCUAUUUUCUCAAUAUUUUCUGCUGAAAAGCCAUCAUUUUUCAUCCUGUUCAGCUUUGUGGAGGGGGACUCCCCACCUUUGGAUUAAUUUCCCUUUGAGAUUGGAGAUGGAUUCAUUUCACUUUGGGAUUGGAGAUGGAUCUGUUUAGGUGGGCCUGGUCCAUACAAGUUAAAAGCAGACAGAGUUAUGUUGGACACUCUCAGGGCUGUACCCUGGGCCGACAUGUGGAUUGUCUACAUCCUUCUCCUGCACACACAGACACAAAAACUUUUUACAGACUAAUUCUUCCAGCUUUUCUUCAUUUCUGUUAAUUUGCUCUGAAGUCUUUGAACGCAUUAAUUUCAAUCGCUGACUGUAGCAUUCUAGGUAUUAUGCCAUUGUUGGUAAUUUGCCAUUGAAAUUAAGAAAGUUUCCUUUUUUUUGGCCUGUGACAUGAAUUGUCUGUAAAUGCAUCCCAUACUUGCAUGAGGCUUUUUGCCAUUUUAGCAGAUGGAAAUUUCAUAUCUAAUUUAAUGUCCAUUAGGUCUCUUUCAGUACCAUUGCUUUCCAAGUAUUUCUCUUCUAUGAAAUUAGUAUUAACUGCCUGCCUGACCCCCCCUCCCACUAUAUAAUUACCCACCCCUUCCUCUGCCUAAAGACCUUCAAACAAAAUCUGGAAUUAAAUAUGUGAGACCCAAAUGUGCACAUUUAGCGCUAUACACUCUUGAUGCUUGUGUUGGAUCCACAGAUGGCUUGUGAAAGCAGGCUGUGCUGGGAUCAACAAUGGGUAAACAAGAGGUCUGCUGCAAUCAGUGUUUUCCUAUUGGCAAAAAGAGGAGGAAGGAUCAUGCCAGGAGUGACACUAACUCUCAGGGUGAGAAGCAGUGGAGACACAAUUCUUCUUCUCUCAGGGCCUGACAGUGAUGAAAAAAUCUACAAGGCUGCUGCAGGCUUUGCUGCUCUGGCCAAGGUGGAAGCGGAUUUUUUCCACUUCCUUGCGUAGCACAACCACUCCAUUAAAUUAAUAAUCCAACCCUCGAUGCCUCAGAUGACAGGGGAGGCCUUUGAAACUUGACUGAACAAAUGCUUUUAGCAUGCAGUGAACUCUCGGCACACACGAACUCCUCUCUCCUUCAGUGAAAUCAUUAGUUAGCCUCUGCUCAGAUAUCCUGCUGAAUCAGAGGCCAGUGUGCAGCUGCCAGCGGGAGCUUGCUGGGGACUGGUUUGUUUUGUGUCAAUGUAUUUUUAAUUCCCCUCUGCCUGCCCCUUCAUUAAGAUGUUUCUUGGAGAGGGGUUCAGACCUUCCCAGGAGUGUGGGGGCCAACUUACCUCGCUACCCCCAGACUCGCAGCAGGAGGUGGGAAACAUGCUCACCACCAUCUCAGGUUCUGAACACAGAAUAGGAGGGGAAAUUUGUUUUCUACAAAUAACAGUUAAUAAGGAAGGGGAGGAAAUUUGCAUAGGUCAAGCACUGGAGGGAUGAGCAAUCCUGCUGAAUAAUCAUCUGUAUGCCCCACUCAAACAAGGCAGAUAUUUACAGGGGAAGUAGGACUGCAUGGAGAUUGAAUAUUAAAAAAAAAUAUAUAUAUUUUAUAGUUUUAGAAAUCCAGGUAGGACCAUAUUAAAUAUUGUGAGAUUGCUUAAAUUGCAACUUUCCAAGAAAAUAAUUGAUUCUGAUACCAUGGUAUUACCAAAAUAUAUCUUUGCUUUAGAAUCCAGCUAACAUUCCAGCUUAGAGGGACCUAAUGACAAACCUGGGUGAAAGAGAUCCUAAGGACCCCAGAGGGUCUGUCUCUUGUGGAGAAGCAGCAGCACAGGUACUGCAUGGGAGGGCUGUGGGGCUACGCCCUGCACCUCCAGGACAUGGGCUUGGUGCAGGACCUGUGCAGCUUGCACAGAACUCCAGGAGUAGCCAGGGGCUCCUCCCUUUUGUUUUCACAGCAUGGAUGACAAGCGGGUUUCAUUUGAAGAUGCCUAAGUACAUUGCUGGGUUCAAACUGUGUAGAACAGAAUUUCAACCUUGGAGUUUAAAUAUGUAAUUGUUGUAUUAAAUAAUUGUCAUUGAAUUUAUCCCCUUAAUUUAUUUUUGGGGAAGGUCUCGCUUUGCCAAUACUAGGGAACACAUGCUGUAAGAACUCAUAGUUUGACAGAAGGAUAGGGAAUCUGACAAAUUACGAGGUUUAUUUGCACAUUUCUAAUCCAGCCUGGAUGUAAAUUUCUACAGCAUCCAGAGA